Molecule: ribosomal RNA, 380 nt
Filed under: uncultured eukaryote
Lineage: Eukaryota
Description: partial 18S ribosomal RNA
Rfam family: Eukaryotic small subunit ribosomal RNA
Source: RNAcentral
CAAUAGCGUAUAUUAAAGUUGUUGCAGUUAAAACGCUCGUAGUCGGAUUUCGGGGCGGGCCGACCGGUCUGCCGAUGGGUAUGCACUGGUCGGCGCGUCCUUCCUUCCGGAGACCGUCCCUACUCUUAACUGAGCGGGGGCGGGAGACGGGACUUUUACUUUGAAAAAAUCAGAGUGUUUCAAGCAGGCAGCUCGCUCUUGCAUGGAUUAGCAUGGGAUAAUGAAAUAGGACUUUGGUGCUAUUUUGUUGGUUUCGAACACCGAAGUAAUGAUGAGAAGGGACAGUCAGGGGCACUCGUAUUCCGCCGAGAGAGGUGAAAUUCUCAGACCAGCGGAAGACGAACCACUGCGAAAGCAUUUGCCAGGGAUGUUUNCACUGA